This 392-nucleotide RNase P RNA is filed under the name Sutcliffiella tianshenii. RNAcentral's name for it is "Bacillus tianshenii RNase P RNA component class B". It matches the Rfam family "Bacterial RNase P class B". Rfam says of the family: Ribonuclease P (RNase P) is a ubiquitous endoribonuclease, found in archaea, bacteria and eukarya as well as chloroplasts and mitochondria. Its best characterised activity is the generation of mature 5'-ends of tRNAs by cleaving the 5'-leader elements of precursor-tRNAs. The record is from RNAcentral. Lineage: Bacteria; Bacillati; Bacillota; Bacilli; Caryophanales; Bacillaceae.
GCGCUUAAGUAAUCGCUGUAUGCUUAGCAUGCAGAGGAAAGUCCAUGCUCGCACGGUGCUGAGAUGCCCGUAGUGUUCGUGCUUGGCGAAACAAUAAGCCAAGGCACCUUGGCUGCGGCUAGGGUGACGGCAGAGAAAGCAGCUAACCUGCAUUUGCAGCAUGCUGUUAGUAUCUUGAAAGUGCCACAGAGACGUAGUUUCGUCGGAAACGGCGAAAGUGGAACGCGGUAAACCCCUCGAGCGAGAAACCCAAAUAAUGGUAGGGGCGCCUUCUCGAAGGAAGUGAACGGAGAGAAGGGUAACGACACAUGUCGUUGCAGAUAGAUGAUUACUACCGGAGUACGAGGUGAAAGCCGUUUGUAGUACGAAGGAACAGAACAUGGCUUAUCAAG